AACAAACGCCCUCACGGGUGCUACCCAGAAACCCUUUGUGAAUUUUCUAUACUGUUGCCUCGGCAUGGACUGGCUUCGUCACGAAGUCCCUUUUUUUUCGAAAGAGAGAAGGAGCAGGUCGGCCGGUGGCCCUAUAAACUCUUMGUUUUUACUAUGUAUCUUCUGAGUAAACAACUAUAAAUGAAUCAAAACUUUUAACAACGGAUCUCUUGGUUCUGGCAUCGAUGAAGAACGCAGCGAAAUGCGAUAAGUAAUGUGAAUUGCAGAAUUCAGUGAAUCAUCGAAUCUUUGAACGCACAUUGCGCCCGCUGGUAUUCCAGCGGGCAUGCCUGUUCGAGCGUCAUUUCAACCCUCAAAACCUCGGUUUUGGUGUUGGAGGAAUACUUGUAAAAGAGUACCCUCUGAAAUUUAGUGGCGGGCUCGCUAGAAUUUUGAGCGUAGUAAUUUUAUACCUCGUUUAUUAAAGACUAGCGGUUGCUCUUGCCGUAAAACCCCCMAACUUUCUGAAAAUUGACCUCGGAUCAGGUAGGAAUACCCGCUGAACUUUAAGCAUAUCAAUAA
Molecule: unclassified non-coding RNA, 561 nt
Filed under: Gnomoniopsis sp. MN9C4
Lineage: Eukaryota; Fungi; Ascomycota; Sordariomycetes; Diaporthales; Gnomoniaceae
Description: partial contains ITS1, 5.8S ribosomal RNA and ITS2
Rfam family: 5.8S ribosomal RNA (bases 190-343)
Source: RNAcentral